GACGAACGCUGGCGGCGUGCUUAACACAUGCAAGUCGAACGGAAAGGCCCUGCUUUUGUGGGGUGCUCGAGUGGCGAACGGGUGAGUAACACGUGAGUAACCUGCCCUUGACUUUGGGAUAACUUCAGGAAACUGGGGCUAAUACCGGAUAGGAGCUCCUGCUGCAUGGUGGGGGUUGGAAAGUUUCGGCGGUUGGGGAUGGACUCGCGGCUUAUCAGCUUGUUGGUGGGGUAGUGGCUUACCAAGGCUUUGACGGGUAGCCGGCCUGAGAGGGUGACCGGCCACAUUGGGACUGAGAUACGGCCCAGACUCCUACGGGAGGCAGCAGUGGGGAAUAUUGCACAAUGGGCGGAAGCCUGAUGCAGCAACGCCGCGUGCGGGAAGACGGCCUUCGGGUUGUAAACCGCUUUCGCCUGUGACGAAGCGUGAGUGACGGUAAUGGGUAAAGAAGCACCGGCUAACUACGUGCCAGCAGCCGCGGUGAUACGUAGGGUGCGAGCGUUGUCCGGAUUUAUUGGGCGUAAAGGGCUCGUAGGUGGUUGAUCGCGUCGGAAGUGUAAUCUUGGGGCUUAACCCUGAGCGUGCUUUCGAUACGGGUUGACUUGAGGAAGGUAGGGGAGAAUGGAAUUCCUGGUGGAGCGGUGGAAUGCGCAGAUAUCAGGAGGAACACCAGUGGCGAAGGCGGUUCUCUGGGCCUUUCCUGACGCUGAGGAGCGAAAGCGUGGGGAGCGAACAGGCUUAGAUACCCUGGUAGUCCACGCUGUAAACGGUGGGUACUAGGUGUGGGGUCCAUUCCACGGGUUCCGUGCCGUAGCUAACGCUUUAAGUACCCCGCCUGGGGAGUACGGCCGCAAGGCUAAAACUCAAAGGAAUUGACGGGGCCCCGCACAAGCGGCGGAGCAUGCGGAUUAAUUCGAUGCAACGCGUAGAACCUUACCUGGGUUUGACAUGGAUCGGGAGUGCUCAGAGAUGGGUGUGCCUCUUUUGGGGUCGGUUCACAGGUGGUGCAUGGCUGUCGUCAGCUCGUGUCGUGAGAUGUUGGGUUAAGUCCCGCAACGAGCGCAACCCUUGUUCACUGUUGCCAGCACGUUAUGGUGGGGACUCAGUGGAGACCGCCGGGGUCAACUCGGAGGAAGGUGGGGAUGACGUCAAGUCAUCAUGCCCCUUAUGUCCAGGGCUUCACGCAUGCUACAAUGGCUGGUACAGAGAGUGGCGAGCCUGUGAGGGUGAGCGAAUCUCGGAAAGCCGGUCUCAGUUCGGAUUGGGGUCUGCAACUCGACCUCAUGAAGUCGGAGUCGCUAGUAAUCGCAGAUCAGCAACGCUGCGGUGAAUACGUUCCCGGG
RNAcentral lists this ribosomal RNA (1343 nucleotides) under uncultured bacterium. RNAcentral describes it as "16S ribosomal RNA". It matches the Rfam family "Bacterial small subunit ribosomal RNA", at positions 28 to 1378 of the family's 1533-position model. The record is from RNAcentral.